GAUGAAGAACGUAGCGAAAUGCGAUACGUAGUGUGAAUUGCAGAAUUCCGUGAACCAUCAAAUCUUUGAACGCAUAUUGCGCUCGAGGCUUCGGCCGAGAGCAUGUCUGCCUCAGCGUCGGUAUUACCCCUCGCUUCUCAACCCCGGGUUGAUGCCUGCCUGCCUUUGCAGUUGGCUAGAAGCGGAUCUGGCUUUCCCAAUUGCCUUUGGUAGUUGGGUCAGCUGAAGCACAGAGGCUUGAGCAAGGACCCUUAUUGGGCUUCAACUGGAUAGGUAGAACUGGUCUUAGGACCAACUACACGACGUUGUUGCUUGUGGUCUUUGUCUGGAGGCCAGCAGGAAACCUUUAUACCUUCGACCUGAGCUCAGGCAAGAUUACCCGCUGAACUUAAGCAUAUCAAUAAGCGGAGGA
RNAcentral lists this unclassified non-coding RNA (412 nucleotides) under soil metagenome. RNAcentral's name for it is "partial contains 5.8S ribosomal RNA, internal transcribed spacer 2, and large subunit ribosomal RNA". The stretch from base 1 to 120 matches the Rfam family "5.8S ribosomal RNA", at positions 35 to 154 of the family's 154-position model. The record is from RNAcentral.